This 506-nucleotide ribosomal RNA is filed under the name uncultured Glomus. RNAcentral describes it as "SSU rRNA". It matches the Rfam family "Eukaryotic small subunit ribosomal RNA", at positions 569 to 1078 of the family's 1831-position model. The record is from RNAcentral. Lineage: Eukaryota; Fungi; Glomeromycota; Glomeromycetes; Glomerales; Glomeraceae.
AGCAGCCGCGGUAAUUCCAGCUCCAAUAGCGUAUAUUAAAGUUGUUGCAGUUAAAAAGCUCGUAGUUGAAUUUCGGGGUCAGCAGGUUGGUCGUGCCACUGGUAUGUACUGGCUUUGCUGAUUCCUCCUUCUUGUAGAACCGUAAUGCCAUUAAGUUGGUGUUGCGGGAAAACAGGACUGUUACUUUGAAAAAAUUAGAGUGUUUAAAGCAGGCUAACGCUUGAAUACAUUAGCAUGGAAUAAUGAAAUAGGACGACGAUCCUAUUUUGUUGGUUUCUAGGAUUGACGUAAUGAUUAAUAGGGAUAGUUGGGGGCAUUAGUAUUCAAUUGUCAGAGGUGAAAUUCUUGGAUUUAUUGAAGACUAACUACUGCGAAAGCAUUUGCCAAGGAUGUUUUCAUUAAUCAAGAACGAAAGUUAGGGGAUCGAAGACGAUCAGAUACCGUCGUAGUCUUAACCAUAAACUAUGCCGACUAGGGAUCGGACGAUGUUAACUUUUCUUGACUCG